This 315-nucleotide ribosomal RNA is filed under the name uncultured bacterium. Its description in RNAcentral is "bacterial SSU rRNA". It matches the Rfam family "Bacterial small subunit ribosomal RNA", at positions 28 to 334 of the family's 1533-position model. The record is from RNAcentral.
GAUGAACGCUAGCGAUAGGCUUAACACAUGCAAGUCGAGGGGCAGCAUGAACAAAGCUUGCUUUGUUUGAUGGCGACCGGCGCACGGGUGCGUAACACGUAUGCAACUUACCCAUAAAGCGAGGAUAACCCGGAGAAAUUCGGACUAAUACUCGAUGGUAUUAUUAGGAGGCAUCUUCUAAUAAUUAAAGAUUUAUCGAUUAUGGAUAGGCAUGCGCAUGAUUAGCUAGUUGGUGAGGUAACGGCUCACCAAGGCGACGAUCAUUAGGGGUUCUGAGAGGAAGGUCCCCCACACUGGUACUGAGACACGGACCAG